CCGAGUCCUGGCACUGGCUUUAGGCCCCAACAAGAACGGCGAAAGAAGGGAUCCGCAGCAACAACGUUGCGCCGCCGCUCCGCCCGUGCGCUCCCCACCCCCGAUCCGCCCCGAGCCCACCAGGCCUCCGAACGCCGCCGUCGAGCUCCUCUGCCGGACACCAUGGCCAUGGACUAAAGCUCCGCCGGACCUUCCCUCGCGAGUGCCGGCCCUCCUCCCGACUAAAUCGGCGACGGCGACGAACGGUGAUGAACACAUGCCUACCCCCUUCUUAAUUCUCCCGGGCAGUCUGUGAUGCAGAUGCCGCCGCUGCCAUUCUUCCGCACAGCCGAGGACGCGAAAGUCGUUGUUGUCUGCAACUCAGCUGCCUCCAUCCUGUUGCCCUGCGAAGUUGAGGAGGGUUUGUUGUCCGGACAUCGCAUCCUCCUGCUUGUCCUCUACCACAGGGUCGUUGCCAUCUUCAGUCACCACGGCCACCUCUGCCAUGUCCUCUACCACGGGUUCAAUAGGGGCAUACCACCGCAUGUCCUCUUCACAUGAUAGGGAGAGCAGGGGAAAAGUCUUGUGGAUACAUAUAUGAAUGCCCGCCAGAAGAAGAGAAGGGUGUUUGGCUGCAAAUCAGUUUUAUGUCAAACUGCACAUAAAUAUGAUCAAGUACUUGUUGUCUUUUUACUGGCAGGGAGAGCAGGAGAAGGUGUUGUGGAUACAUAUAUGAAUGCCCGCCAGAAGAAGAGAAAGAUGUUUGGCUGCAAGUAAUUGUGUUCGUAGGCUGUCCAUAUCACCGGCACUAAGGGGAAAUGUUCGACUGCCACGUUCCUGUCUAAUAUCAUGAGGGAGCAAGCAUAAACUGUGGGCUGCUAUUCCAGUCCACACCUUUUAACAAUCCGAGAGCGCAUCACCUGUUUCAGCUGCAUCUUUGAGGGAUCUUUUUGAUCUGGCAAAAGGAAGCUAUUGAUGAAUCAAUCGAAUAUUUUCAAAGAUAUUUUUAGGUUGCAAGGUUGGUAUUUUGCUUUAAUAAAAUGCUGAUGAUGCGUACUCAGAUAUUUUUUUGUAUGUCCCCGAAUGGGAGCCUAUACAAUACCAAUAAACGAUAAGCAUAACAAGAAAAAUAGCAAAGGUACUAUCGAAUGGGAGCCUAAUUUCUUGUUUCAGUAUUGUCUGCAGCUUUGUUUCAGGAAGAUACAAUUCUGUAAUUUUUUUAUGUCGCAUUUGAAGGUGUCGGCAAGUAAGCGGCUCUACAUCUUGCCAAUUCCAUUUCUAAUAGGCAUGAACCCCCUGUGUUUUGGACAACUAAGGUUACAUGCAUGUGUUCAUAUCAUAAUCAUGUACCAAUUCUGAGUCAGACGCGUGCAUUUGGAUUGGAUAUUGAACCGAGCCCGCCAUUUUAUUACUCUGAAAGAACUAUACAGUGAUAUUUGGCUAUUGCUUUCAGUAUUAGAGAAGCAUAGAAACUGAACUGCAGGGCUUUCUAUAUUUUUAUGUGAAAUUCCUCUAUGACAUUGUGCCAUACUAUUUACUUUGAGCAACCUUUCUAUGCUAUUUUCUUGGACAGUUUAUACUGUAAUCUCUAGCACCUCAAUAUAUGGUAAACAAGUGCAAGCUUGGGUAUUUUUUUCCUCAUCUCGUAUUCAUUUUAUUUGCUAUGUUACUUUAGCAAUCAAAUAGAAUCAGGCACAAGCUCCAGUUAGUCCUGUGUAAAAACUGAUGUGCAGGUGUGGACCAUGGAUUCCUUAUUUUGUGCGUUUCAGACUUGGGAUCGUAGGGAGAAGUGUGAACUAUGGAGUCAUACCAGAACUCGAUUGACCAUGGCACAUCUUCAUAAACGAGUCAUGGCAUCGGCAACAAUAUUCAAGAUUUCAUGUUCCCUUCAUUUCCAAGCAUCACUCUUAAAGCAAUAUAUGCAGGUUCAUCAUUCAUGCGAGGGAUAUGAAUGACGAAACAAAAGUAAAAGGUGUUUAUGCCAACAGAUCAUCAUAAUUUGGGAGGAGUGUCAUGUCGGCUUUAUAAAGCCAGUAGCAUCCUACUAUUCGCAGUUUCUGUACUUCAAUGAAAUAAUACAAUUUUCAAAUUAUAU
Molecule: long non-coding RNA, 2074 nt
Organism: Triticum dicoccoides
Lineage: Eukaryota; Viridiplantae; Streptophyta; Magnoliopsida; Poales; Poaceae
Exons: 4
Source: RefSeq, a predicted model, not a curated record